ACGAACGCUGGCGGCGUGCUUCACCCCUGCCCGCCGAACGGAAAGGCCCUGCUUUUGUGGGGCGCUCGAGUGGCGAACGGGUGAGUAACACGUGAGUAACCUGCCCUUGACUUUGGGAUAACUUCAGGAAACUGGGGCUAAUACCGGAUAGGAGCUCCUGCUGCAUGGUGGGGGUUGGAAAGUUUCGGCGGUUGGGGAUGGACUCGCGGCUUAUCAGCUUGUUGGUGGGGUAGUGGCUUACCAAGGCUUUGACGGGUAGCCGGCCUGAGAGGGUGACCGGCCACAUUGGGACUGAGAUACGGCCCAGACUCCUACGGGAGGCAGCAGUGGGGAAUAUUGCACAAUGGGCGGAAGCCUGAUGCAGCAACGCCGCGUGCGGGAUGACGGCCUUCGGGUUGUAAACCGCUUUCGCCUGUGACGAAGCGUGAGUGACGGUAAUGGGUAAAGAAGCACCGGCUAACUACGUG
RNAcentral lists this ribosomal RNA (467 nucleotides) under uncultured bacterium. Its description in RNAcentral is "partial 16S ribosomal RNA". It matches the Rfam family "Bacterial small subunit ribosomal RNA", at positions 29 to 507 of the family's 1533-position model. The record is from RNAcentral.